This 274-nucleotide ribosomal RNA is filed under the name uncultured bacterium. RNAcentral describes it as "partial 16S ribosomal RNA". It matches the Rfam family "Bacterial small subunit ribosomal RNA", at positions 524 to 796 of the family's 1533-position model. The record is from RNAcentral.
UACGUAGGGCGCAAGCGUUGUCCGGAAUUAUUGGGCGUAAAGAGCUCGUAGGCGGUUUGUCGCGUCUGCUGUGAAAGCCCCGGGGCUCAACCCCGGGUCUGCAGUGGGUACGGGCAGACUAGAGUGCAGAGGGGAGAACUGGAAUUCCUGGUGUAGCGGUGAAAUGCGCAGAUAUCAGGAGGAACACCGAUGGCGAAGGCAGGUCUCUGGGCUGUUACUGACGCUGAGGAGCGAAAGCAUGGGGAGCGAACAGGAUUAGAUACCCGCGUAGUCC